CCUACGGGGAGCAGCAGUGAGGAAUAUUGGUCAAUGGACGAGAGUCUGAACCAGCCAAGUAGCGUGAAGGAUGACUGCCCUAUGGGUUGUAAACUUCUUUUAUAUGGGAAUAAAAUGUUCCACGUGUGGGAUUUUGUAUGUACCUUAUGAAUAAGGAUCGGCUAACUCCGUGCCAGCAGCCGCGGUAAUACGGAGGAUCCGAGCGUUAUCCGGAUUUAUUGGGUUUAAAGGGAGCGUAGGUGGCUUGUUAAGUCAGUUGUGAAAGUUUGCGGCUCAACCGUAAAAUUGCAGUUGAAACUGGCAGUCGUGAGUACAGUAGAGGUGGGCGGAAGUCGUGGUGUAGCGGUGAAAUGCUUAGAUAUCACGAAGAACUCCGAUUGCGAAGGCAGCUCACUGGACUGCAACUGACACUGAGGCUCGAAAGUGUGGGUAUCAAACAGGAUUAGAUACCCUUGUAGUC
Molecule: ribosomal RNA, 460 nt
Filed under: uncultured bacterium
Lineage: Bacteria
Description: partial 16S ribosomal RNA
Rfam family: Bacterial small subunit ribosomal RNA
Source: RNAcentral